RNAcentral lists this non-coding RNA (87 nucleotides) under unclassified sequences. Its description in RNAcentral is "RAGATH-21 RNA". It matches the Rfam family "RAGATH-21 RNA". Rfam says of the family: Clostridiales (Firmicutes). Nearby to self-cleaving ribozyme genes The record is from Rfam by way of RNAcentral.
AGCACGCGUCCUUAAAAGAAACCGGCGUACAUCCUCCAAAAGGUGCGCCGGGAGGUUGAAAAGCGGAUGCAAUUUCCGGCGUGUGCA